GACGAACGCUGGCGGCGUGCUUAACACAUGCAAGUCGAACGCUGAAGCUUGGUGCUUGCACUAGGUGGAUGAGUGGCGAACGGGUGAGUAAUACGUGAGUAACCUGCCCUUGACUCUGGGAUAAGCCUGGGAAACUGGGUCUAAUACUGGAUACGACAUGUCACCGCAUGGUGGUGUGUGGAAAGGGUUUUACUGGUUUUGGAUGGGCUCACGGCCUAUCAGCUUGUUGGUGGGGUAAUGGCUCACCAAGGCGACGACGGGUAGCCGGCCUGAGAGGGUGGCCGGCCACACUAGGACUGAGACACGGCCCAGACUCCUACGGGAGGCAGCAGUGGGGAAUAUUGCACAAUGGGCGGAAGCCUGAUGCAGCGACGCCGCGUGAGGGAUGACGGCCUUCGGGUUGUAAACCUCUUUCAGCACGGAAGAAGCGAAAGUGACGGUACGUGCAGAAGAAGCGCCGGCUAACUACGUG
Molecule: ribosomal RNA, 472 nt
Filed under: uncultured bacterium
Lineage: Bacteria
Description: partial 16S ribosomal RNA
Rfam family: Bacterial small subunit ribosomal RNA
Source: RNAcentral